RNAcentral lists this transfer RNA (71 nucleotides) under Synechococcus phage S-CBWM1. It matches the Rfam family "tRNA". From Rfam's summary of the family: Transfer RNA (tRNA) molecules are approximately 80 nucleotides in length. The record is from Rfam by way of RNAcentral. Lineage: Duplodnaviria; Heunggongvirae; Uroviricota; Caudoviricetes.
GCCCGAUUAGCACAAUGGUAAUGCGGCUGCUUCGUAAGCAGUUAAUGGGAGUUCGAUCCUCCCAUCGGGCU